CAGUCGACGAUGAAGCCGGAGCUUGCUCUGGUGGAUUAGUGGCGAACGGGUGAGUAACACGUGAGUAACCUGCCCCUGACUCUGGGAUAAGCGCUGGAAACGGCGUCUAAUACCGGAUAUGCGCUGUAACCGCAUGGUUUGCAGCGGGAAAGAUUUAUCGGUUGGGGAUGGACUCGCGGCCUAUCAGCUUGUUGGUGAGGUAAUGGCUCACCAAGGCGUCGACGGGUAGCCGGCCUGAGAGGGUGACCGGCCACACUGGGACUGAGACACGGCCCAGACUCCUACGGGAGGCAGCAGUGGGGAAUAUUGCACAAUGGGCGCAAGCCUGAUGCAGCAACGCCGCGUGAGGGAUGACGGCCUUCGGGUUGUAAACCUCUUUUAGCAGGGAAGAAGCCUUCGGGUGACGGUACCUGCAGAAAAAGCGCCGGCUAACUACGUGCCAGCAGCCGCGGUAAUACGUAGGGCGCAAGCGUUAUCCGGAAUUAUUGGGCGUAAAGAGCUCGUAGGCGGUUUGUCACGUCUGCUGUGAAAACUGGAGGCUCAACCUCCAGCCUGCAGUGGGUACGGGCAGACUAGAGUGCGGUAGGGGAGAUUGGAAUUCCUGGUGUAGCGGUGGAAUGCGCAGAUAUCAGGAGGAACACCGAUGGCGAAGGCAGAUCUCUGGGCCGUUACUGACGCUGAGGAGCGAAAGGGUGGGGAGCAAACAGGCUUAGAUACCCUGGUAGUCCACCCCGUAAACGUUGGGAACUAGUUGUGGGGGCUUUUCUACGGUCUCCGUGACGCAGCUAACGCAUUAAGUUCCCCGCCUGGGGAGUACGGCCGCAAGGCUAAAACUCAAAGGAAUUGACGGGGACCCGCACAAGCGGCGGAG
RNAcentral lists this ribosomal RNA (871 nucleotides) under Microbacterium sp. RNAcentral's name for it is "bacterial SSU rRNA". It matches the Rfam family "Bacterial small subunit ribosomal RNA", at positions 59 to 937 of the family's 1533-position model. The record is from RNAcentral. Lineage: Bacteria; Bacillati; Actinomycetota; Actinomycetes; Micrococcales; Microbacteriaceae.